Cajanus cajan (pigeon pea) is the source of this 79-nucleotide non-coding RNA. Lineage: Eukaryota; Viridiplantae; Streptophyta; Magnoliopsida; Fabales; Fabaceae. The record is from Rfam.
AAGCCGAUGAGGAUUAAUUUGAAUUGGAAUUACCGUCUGAACACAAUUGAUGUGAAUUUCUGGCUGACUGAGGCUUCAC